ACGAACGCUGGCGGCGUGCUUCACACCUGCAAGUCGAACGGAAAGGCCUGCUUUCCCUUGUGGAUUGCGGGUACUCGAGUGGCGAACGGGUGAGUAACACGUGAGUGAUCUGCCCCCAACUUGGGUAUAAGCCUGGGAAACUGGGUCUAAUUCCCGAUAGGACUGCCGGGUUGUGCCUGUGGUGGAAAACGAUUUUCUAGUGGUUGGGGAUGAGCUCGCGGCCUAUCAGCUUGUUGGUGGGGUAAUGGCCUACCAAGGCGGCGACGGGUAGCCGGCCUGAGAGGGUGGACGGCCGAAUUGGAACUGGGAUACGGCCCAGACGCCUACGGGAGGCAGCAGUGGGGAGUAAUGGACAAUGGGCGGAAGCCUGAUGCAGCGACGCCGCGUGGGGGAUGACGGCCUUCGGGUUGUAAACUCCUUUCGACAGCGAGGAAGCCACCUGGUUGGAAGGGUGGUGACGGUAGUGGUAGAAGAAGCACCGGCUAACUACGUG
Molecule: ribosomal RNA, 493 nt
Filed under: uncultured bacterium
Lineage: Bacteria
Description: partial 16S ribosomal RNA
Rfam family: Bacterial small subunit ribosomal RNA
Source: RNAcentral